This 457-nucleotide ribosomal RNA is filed under the name uncultured Streptococcus sp. RNAcentral describes it as "bacterial SSU rRNA". It matches the Rfam family "Bacterial small subunit ribosomal RNA", at positions 923 to 1382 of the family's 1533-position model. The record is from RNAcentral. Lineage: Bacteria; Bacillati; Bacillota; Bacilli; Lactobacillales; Streptococcaceae.
GCACAAGCGGUGGAGCAUGUGGUUAAUUCGAAGCAACGCGAAGAACCUUACCAGGUCUUGACAUCCCGAUGCUAUUUCUAGAGAUAGAAAGUUACUUCGGUACAUCGGUGACAGGUGGUGCAUGGUUGUCGUCAGCUCGUGUCGUGAGAUGUUGGGUUAAGUCCCGCAACGAGCGCAACCCCUAUUGUUAGUUGCCAUCAUUCAGUUGGGCACUCUAGCGAGACUGCCGGUAAUAAACCGGAGGAAGGUGGGGAUGACGUCAAAUCAUCAUGCCCCUUAUGACCUGGGCUACACACGUGCUACAAUGGUUGGUACAACGAGUUGCGAGUCGGUGACGGCGGGCUAAUCUCUUAAAGCCAAUCUCAGUUCGGAUUGUAGGCUGCAACUCGCCUACAUGAAGUCGGAAUCGCUAGUAAUCGCGGAUCAGCACGCCGCGGUGAAUACGUUCCCGGGCCUU